Molecule: long non-coding RNA, 347 nt
Organism: Talpa occidentalis (Iberian mole)
Lineage: Eukaryota; Metazoa; Chordata; Mammalia; Eulipotyphla; Talpidae
Exons: 3
Source: RefSeq, a predicted model, not a curated record
CGGGGGUCGGGGCCCCGCGCGGAGCCGGCUCUCGCGCUUUUCAGGUUGGCUGCUCUGGAGAAAAGGAGUUACAGACCAAGAAGAGUCAUAGACCUUGAGUGCAGGCUGCUCAAACUGGAGCUGCAGAUUCCUUCUGAAGAUCUUCAGCAUCAGAAUUACUGUUAACUGUUAAAACAAUGAAAUCACUUUUGAGAAAUAUGACACAAGGCAAGAAAAUACUCGUGUUUCUCAUGAAACAACCACCUUGAAAGUCAAAAAUCUGAUGGCAGCUAACUACCAUCAAUAUUCCUUUUUUAAUGAGGGAAGAAUAAAGAACUGUAAAUCUUUUAUCCCACAUAAUGCAAUAC